Molecule: ribosomal RNA, 100 nt
Filed under: Klebsiella aerogenes
Lineage: Bacteria; Pseudomonadati; Pseudomonadota; Gammaproteobacteria; Enterobacterales; Enterobacteriaceae
Description: partial 23S ribosomal RNA
Source: RNAcentral
AUGUAGGCGGAGGUUCCAGGUAAAUCCGGUACCUUAUUAACGCUGAGGUGUGAUGACGAGGCACUACGGUGCUGAAGUAACAAAUGCYCUGACUGCCAGG